CCUACGGGUUGCACCAGUGGGGAAUAUUGCACAAUGGGCGCAAGCCUGAUGCAGCAACGCCGCGUGAACGAAGAAGGUCUUCGGAUCGUAAAGUUCUUUUCUUAGGGAAGAAAAAUGACGGUACCUAAGGAAUAAGCACCGGCUAAAUACGUGCCAGCAGCCGCGGUAAUACGUAUGGUGCAAGCGUUAUCCGGAAUCACUGGGCGUAAAGGGAGCGUAGGCGGUUUUGCAAGUCAGAAGUGAAAGGCUACGGCUCAACCGUGGUAAGCUUUUGAAACUGCAAGACUAGAGUGCAGGAGAGGCAAGUGGAAUUCCUAGUGUAGAGGUGAAAUUCGUAGAUAUUAGGAGGAACACCAAUGGCGAAGGCGACUUGCUGGACUGUAACUGACGCUGAGGCUCGAAAGCGUGGGGAGCGAACAGGAUUAGAUACCCGGGUAGUC
RNAcentral lists this ribosomal RNA (440 nucleotides) under uncultured bacterium. Its description in RNAcentral is "bacterial SSU rRNA". It matches the Rfam family "Bacterial small subunit ribosomal RNA", at positions 338 to 795 of the family's 1533-position model. The record is from RNAcentral.